RNAcentral lists this ribosomal RNA (414 nucleotides) under Citrobacter portucalensis. RNAcentral's name for it is "partial 23S ribosomal RNA". It matches the Rfam family "Bacterial large subunit ribosomal RNA", at positions 193 to 645 of the family's 2925-position model. The record is from RNAcentral. Lineage: Bacteria; Pseudomonadati; Pseudomonadota; Gammaproteobacteria; Enterobacterales; Enterobacteriaceae.
CUGAUACAUCUAAGUACCCCGAGGAAAAGAAAUCAACCGAGAUUCCCCCAGUAGCGGCGAGCGAACGGGGAGCAGCCCAGAGUCUGAAUCAGCAUGUGUGUUAGUGGAAGCGUCUGGAAAGUCGCACGAUACAGGGUGAAAGUCCCGUACACAAAAGUGCAUGUGUUGUGAACUCGAAGAGUAGGGCGGGACACGUGGUAUCCUGUCUGAAUAUGGGGGGACCAUCCUCAAAGGCUAAAUAAUCCUGACUGACCGAUAGUGAACCAGUACCGUGAGGGAAAGGCGAAAAGAACCCCGGCGAGGGGAGUGAAAAAGAACCUGAAACCGUGUACGUACAAGCAGUGGGAGCACCCUUUGGGGUGUGACUGCGUACCUUUUGUAUAAUGGGUCAGCGACUUAUAUUCUGAAGCAAGG